CUCGCACACUGGCGGCGUGCUAAUCAUGCAAGUACCACGCUGACCUCUGGUGCUUGCACUAGAGUGAUGAGUUGCGAACGGGUGAGUAACGCGUAGGUAACCUACCUUUAAGCGGGGGAUAACUAUUGGAAACGAUAGCUAAUACCGCAUAACAACUUUUAACACAUGUUAGGAGUUUGAAAGGGGCAACUGCCUCACUUAGAGAUGGACCUGCGUUGUAUUAGCUAGUUGGUAGGGUAAAGGCCUACCAAGGCGACGAUACAUAGCCGACCUGAGAGGGUGAUCGGCCACACUGGGACUGAGACACGGCCCAGACUCCUACGGGAGGCAGCAGUAGGGAAUCUUCGGCAAUGGGGGCAACCCUGACCGAGCAACGCCGCGUGAGUGAAGAAGGUUUUAGGAUCGUAAAGCUCUGUUGUAAGAGAAGAAUGUUGUGUAGAGUGGAAAGUUACACAAGUGACGGUAUCUUACCAGAAAGGGACGGCUAACUACGUGCCAGCAGCCGCGGUAAU
RNAcentral lists this ribosomal RNA (512 nucleotides) under uncultured bacterium. RNAcentral's name for it is "bacterial SSU rRNA". It matches the Rfam family "Bacterial small subunit ribosomal RNA", at positions 30 to 524 of the family's 1533-position model. The record is from RNAcentral.